This is a long non-coding RNA of Phasianus colchicus (ring-necked pheasant), 670 nucleotides long. RefSeq lists it as uncharacterized. Lineage: Eukaryota; Metazoa; Chordata; Aves; Galliformes; Phasianidae. The record is from RefSeq and is a predicted model, not a curated record.
UCGGGGCGGAGCGGCUGCCCCGCCGACCGCCGGAGCGCUCACGGGCCGGGAGCCGUGGGGCUGCUCGGUGCCUGCUCGCACGAGCGGCUCUGGAGGGGCGGGCGCUGCAGGCGGGUGUUUGUGCGCUCUGAUAACUACCCAGGUAGUUGGGUACUGCCAAGCGUCCGGGUGCCGCUGGAUAGCUCUGUGCUCCGCCGAUGCAACAUUAGCAGGCUGCCAUUUGGGCUGCCCCUCUACAUCUGGCACAGAGAAACCUGGAGCAGAGCACGAGGGCUCUCACCAUGCUCCCUGUCAGCACCUUGUUCUAACUGGUGAGCCAACCGAUACCUCAAAUUAAUUGUAGCCUCAUCGUAUGUAUGCUAUUGCCAGGGCUCAGAAUGAUUGGGAACGGACUGUUGCUUCUGAUUGAGAUAGAAGAGAUAUAAUAUGUAAUAUACCCACCAUGGGCUAGGCUAACAAGAAGGAGCACUGCAGCAGCUGAGAGGAUACCAUAUACUUACCAUCUGAGAUGGCUGACUCCCGGGAUAGAGGUCAGCUCUGAUGUCCUAUCUAGUUUUUCAAAGUACUCUUGCUUAUUAUAAUUAUUUUUUUAAACACACAAGCUUAAAGCCAAGCUGGUUAAGGCCAUGCAAUAAAUUAUUCCUUUGUCUUUAAGUUCAGUGUUUGUUUC